GGGAGCAUGUGCACACCUUGUCAUCUUUAUAUCUCCACCUGUGCACUUUUUGUAGACCUUUCAGGUCUAUGUUGCUUCAUUUACCCCAAUGUAUGUUAAUAGAAUGUUGUGCCUAUAUAAUAUAUACAACUUUCAGCAACGGAUCUCUUGGCUCUCGCAUCGAUGAAGAACGCAGCGAAAUGCGAUAAGUAAUGUGAAUUGCAGAAUUCAGUGAAUCAUCGAAUCUUUGAACGCACCUUGCGCUCCUUGGUAUUCCGAGGAGCAUGCCUGUUUGAGUGUCAUUAAUAUAUCAACCUUCUCUUUUUUGAGUUGUUUGGAUGUGGGGGUUUGCUGGCCUCUUAAAUGAUUCAGCUCCCCUGAAAUGCAUUAGCAGAACAACCUGUUCAUUGGCGUGAUAAUUAUCUAUGCUAUGAAUGUGA
RNAcentral lists this ribosomal RNA (419 nucleotides) under Cortinarius casimirii. Its description in RNAcentral is "eukaryotic LSU rRNA". The stretch from base 128 to 281 matches the Rfam family "5.8S ribosomal RNA". Lineage: Eukaryota; Fungi; Basidiomycota; Agaricomycetes; Agaricales; Cortinariaceae. The record is from RNAcentral.